CAUUUAGUGGGGAAUAACUGUUGGAAACGACAGCUAAUACCGCAUAAUAUUGCUGGAUAAUUUCCAGUAAUGAAAGGAGCUUUCAAGCUCCGCUGAUUGAUGAGGAUGCGGCGCAUUAGCUAGUUGGUAGGGUAAUGGCCUACCAAGGCAAUGAUGCGUAGCCGAUCUGAGAGGAUGAACGGCCACAUUGGAACUGAGACACGGCCCAAACUUCUACGGAAGGCAGCAGUAGGGAAUUUUUCACAAUGGGCGAAAGCCUGAUGGAGCAAUGCCGCGUGACUGAUGAAGGUCUUCGGAUUGUAAAGGUCUGUUGUAAGGGAAGAAAUGGUAAAACAGGAAAUGGUUUUAUCUAUGACGGUACCUUACCAGAAAGCCACGGCUAACUAUGUGCCAGCAGCCGCGGUAAUACAUAGGUGGCAAGCGUUAUCCGGAUUUAUUGGGCGUAAAGGGUGCGUAGACGGUUUUGCAAGUCUGANGUUAAAUUUAGGAGCUCAACUCCUAAUCGCCUUGGAAACUACAAGACUAGAGUAUAGGAGAGGUUAGUGGAAUUCCAUGUGUAGCGGUGGAAUGUGUAGAUAUAUGGAGGAACACCAGUGGC
This 598-nucleotide ribosomal RNA is filed under the name uncultured Spiroplasma sp. Its description in RNAcentral is "bacterial SSU rRNA". It matches the Rfam family "Bacterial small subunit ribosomal RNA", at positions 130 to 716 of the family's 1533-position model. The record is from RNAcentral. Lineage: Bacteria; Bacillati; Mycoplasmatota; Mollicutes; Entomoplasmatales; Spiroplasmataceae.